GAACUGCGGCGGUGGUGGCUGGGCCACCAGAGGGAAGCGGGUGUGGCCCAGGCAGCGGGGGCUGGGACAGACCUGGAAAGGAGGAAGCGGGGAAGGAAGGUUGUCCUGUCGGGCUGGGGGCUCCCGGGAAUCCGGAGGCCAGCAGUGGAACCGCAAGGCUCUACAGGGCAGAUCUGCCUCCCGUGCUGUCUCAGCUACGCCGAGUCGUUGGCUCAGGGCGGAGGAUUUUCCUAUUGGCCGCGUUAUUUGAAUGGAAUGGAGGAUAGGUCGUGAAGGUGGAACCAAGCAGAGGGGUUCACCCAAGCCAUCUUUGGGUGCUUCCAUGGGAAAGAAGGAUUUCACUGAGAAUAAUAAGUGACACCAAGGCUCAAAAGAAUGAGAGAGAAGUCUGUUGGUCUCUUGAACAGCAGGGAUUUGCUCACAGAUCUCUGGAAGUAGCCAGAAUGUGACAGGAUCUCAAAAUGAAUGGCUGCUUCAUGGAGGCUGGAACAUAAGCCUGGGACUCCCAGUAGCCAAACAUAGCUGUGCCACAAACAUGGCUGAAAUGUAGCAGUUUGGUGGAUCCGAGGUCAGUCAUUGAAAAUGUAUUGAUUGGCACCUAUUCUUUGUGAAUCAUUAUUCUGGGUUCUGGGGUCACAGGAGCAAAUGAAACAAAUGAAGUACCUGCCAUCAAUGAGCUUACAUUCUAGUAAAGAGGGACAGAAAAUGAAUACAUUUUAAAUGAAUAAAUUCAGAUACCGCUAAAUGUAGUGAAGAAAAAAAUUGGGCUAAAGAGAGCGAAAAACAAUUUCUGAAGUUACUAGCAGUGAAGGGUGGGGGAAGAGAAGAGACGGAUUUAACCAGGAAAGAUCUGAGCUGAGGGUGUAUCCAGGUUUUCUGGAACCUGAUAUUAUUACAGUUUAGAGAUUCUUCUUCAAGAAAAAGAAUUUAAAAUUACAAAUAAUUAACUUCAGGGCCUUGGAAGGGGUCCACUCAAGUGAACAGAAAAUUAUGUGCUCCUUAUAAAAUAUAUGAUUUAAAACUACAACAGUGGCUGGCCGUGGUGGCUCAUGCCUGUAAUCCCAGCACUUUGGGAGGCUGAGGCAGGUGGAUCGCGAAGUAAAGAGAUCGAGACCAACCUGGCCAACAAUGGUGAAACCCCGUCUCUACUAAAAAUACAAAAAUUAGCUGGGCGUGGUGGCAUGUGCCUGGUGUCCCAGCUACUUGGGAGGCAGAGGCAGGAGAAUCGCUUGAACCUGGGAGGUGGAGGUUGCAGUGAGCCGAGAUUGUGCCACUGCACUCCAGCCUGGCGACAGAGUGAGACGUCUC
This 1308-nucleotide long non-coding RNA is filed under the name Homo sapiens (human). RNAcentral's name for it is "PPP1R12A antisense RNA 1, transcript variant 3 (PPP1R12A-AS1)". Lineage: Eukaryota; Metazoa; Chordata; Mammalia; Primates; Hominidae. The record is from RNAcentral.